RNAcentral lists this ribosomal RNA (434 nucleotides) under uncultured bacterium. RNAcentral describes it as "partial 16S ribosomal RNA". It matches the Rfam family "Bacterial small subunit ribosomal RNA", at positions 29 to 506 of the family's 1533-position model. The record is from RNAcentral.
AGCGAACGCUGGCGGCAGGCUUAACACAUGCAAGUCGAGCGGGCGUAGCAAUACGUCGGCGGCAGACGGGUGAGUAACGCGUGGGAACGAACCUUUUGGUUCGGAACAACACAGGGAAACUUGUGCUAAUACCGGAUAAGCCCUUACGGGGAAAGAUUUAUCGCCGCAAGAUCGGGCCGCGUCUGAUUAUCUUGCUGGUGAGGUAACGGAUCACCAAGGCGACGAUCAGAAGCUGGUCUGAGAGGAUGAUCAGCAACAUUGAGACUGAGACACGGCCCGAACUCCUACGGAAGGCAGCAGGGGGGAAGAUGCGACAACGGGGGCAACCCUGAUCCAGCCAGGCCGCGUGAGUGAUGAAGGCCCGAGGGUUGUAAAGCUCUUUUGUGCGGGAAGAUAAUGACGGUACCGCAAGAAUAAGCCCCGGUUAACUUCGU